Long non-coding RNA from Drosophila novamexicana, 443 nucleotides. RefSeq lists it as uncharacterized. The record is from RefSeq and is a predicted model, not a curated record. The transcript is spliced from 3 exons. Lineage: Eukaryota; Metazoa; Arthropoda; Insecta; Diptera; Drosophilidae.
AUGUGUUCAAAAUUGUAUCGAAAAACUGACGUUAACAUAUAUUACUCCAAAUUUUCCCAAAGGAAUCGUAAAGACUCCAUUAGGGAGCAUUCAUCUAAUACCUAUGUAUUCCAAUUCCCCCAAUAGGAUUAAUCACUAGACUCUUAUCUCUAUGAGCGAUUUACUCCAAUUAGAAACCGUUGAUCAAGAGCAGCUCUGAAUGAAAGUCGACGCUAAUAUAUAGGGUAUAAACUCUUUUUGGACACUUUCCGGGUUGGUUCUAUUAUCAAAUACGUCUUAACUGGACAAGUGCUGAAUCCGAAUUGUACUUCCGAUCGAUAAGGUUCAAGAGUAUUGACUUUGGCUAUAAACUUCUUUAAAAGCCAGCUUAUUCCAAUUGAAGAGGGGGGUUGCCUACUUUUGGAACUUUUAAUUUUUCACUCUCAAGACUUGAUUUAUAUUUU